RNAcentral lists this unclassified non-coding RNA (342 nucleotides) under soil metagenome. RNAcentral's name for it is "partial contains 5.8S ribosomal RNA, internal transcribed spacer 2, and large subunit ribosomal RNA". The stretch from base 1 to 120 matches the Rfam family "5.8S ribosomal RNA", at positions 35 to 154 of the family's 154-position model. The record is from RNAcentral.
GAUGAAGAACGUAGCGAAAUGCGAUAAGUAGUGUGAAUUGCAGAAUUCAGUGAAUCAUCGAAUCUUUGAACGCACAUUGCGGCCAUAGGUAUUCCUUUGGCCAUGCCUGUUCGAGCGUCAUUUACACCCUCAAGCCUAGCUUGGUGUUGGGCGUCUGUCCUGCCGUUUUCGCGCGCGGACUCGCCUCAAAGUCAUUGGCGGCGGUCGUGCCGGCCCCCUCGCGCAGCACAUUUGCGCUUCUCGGAGGCCCGGCGGAUCCGCGCUCCAGCAAGACCUUUCACGACUUGACCUCGGAUCAGGUAGGGAUACCCGCUGAACUUAAGCAUAUCAAUAAGCGGAGGA